AUGUUCAUCUCUCAGGACACCGCUGUAGUCUGGCCCCUCAAAACAGCAAUCUCCUCCAGCAGCGUUGGCCAACCCAUCACCCAUAAUAUUGCAGCUGGACUUGCCCAAACCACAAUCCAUUUCGGCACCGGUGCGACAUUGUUAUCCAUUUUCUCCCCAUUGGAGCUCCUCGUGGUCACUCUGUGUGUGCCUCUCUUUAUUUGGAAAUCCUUUCCAGCACUGCUAGAAGAGUCGUUCUCCAUUUUAAUAGCAUGGGAGCUGUUCGCAGCCGUACUGCGUGUGUGUCUCUUCAAUGGGAAAUCCUUUCCGGCACCGCUGCAGGCGCCGUUCUCCAUUUUAACCCCAUCGGAGCUCUUGGCAGUCGCACUGCGUGUGGCUCUUCUCAACAGGCAAUCCAUUUCAGCACCGGGGUUCUUCAUGGUCGCGCUGCGCGUGCUUCUCCUCAACUGGCUAUCCUUUCCAGCACCUGCGCUGCGCGCGCUGUUCUCCCCAUCGGUCCUCUUCAUGGUCGCACUGCGCGUGCUUCUCUUCUUCGACUGGCCGUCCAUCGGAUCUCCCGCGCUACGGCCGCCGCUCCCCACCACCGACGACGAUCUGGGACGUUUGGUGCCAGAACCGCCCGCCGGCGCCCCGGCGCGGCCUCUGGGCGCGGCGGCGGCGGCGGCGGGGGUCUUGGCCUGGUACCUGACGAAGCCGCGCUGGAAGCGCCACGGCGUGAGCGCCUUGUACCUCCGCCCGCUGGUCGCCCUGGGCGGCACCGCCGCCUUCCCGGUCUCCCUGAUUGAGGGGCCGGCGGCGGCGGCGGCGGUGGAGGGGGUUGGUAGGUCGCGCGCGCUGGCCUCGGGGUUUCCCGGUGGAUUUGGCGCGGCGCGAGGCUUCCCCUGUAAUGGCGGAGCGGCGGGCGGGAGGGGUGGGGUGGGGAGGUGA
This 927-nucleotide ribosomal RNA is filed under the name Triticum aestivum (bread wheat). Its description in RNAcentral is "partial small subunit ribosomal RNA". The record is from RNAcentral. Lineage: Eukaryota; Viridiplantae; Streptophyta; Magnoliopsida; Poales; Poaceae.